RNAcentral lists this ribosomal RNA (326 nucleotides) under uncultured bacterium. Its description in RNAcentral is "bacterial SSU rRNA". It matches the Rfam family "Bacterial small subunit ribosomal RNA", at positions 30 to 355 of the family's 1533-position model. The record is from RNAcentral.
AUUGAACGCUGGCGGCAUGCCUUACACAUGCAAGUCGAACGGUAACGCGGGGCAACCUGGCGACGAGUGGCGAACGGGUGAGUAAUAUAUCGGAACGUGCCCAGUAGUGGGGGAUAGCCCGGCGAAAGCCGGAUUAAUACCGCAUACGACCUACGGGUGAAAGGCGGGGGAUCGCAAGACCUCGCGCUAUUGGAGCGGCCGAUAUCAGAUUUAGGUAGUUGGUGGGGGUAAAGGCCUACCAAGCCUACGAUCUGUAGCUGGUCUGAGAGGACGACCAGCCACACUGGGACUGAGACACGGCCCAGACUCCUACGGGAGGCAGCAGU